UCGUCUCCUGGACAGGCAAGGAGAAGGCAAUGCUUUUUCCCUGGAAAUAGCUCAGCAACAGUAUCCUUCAGUGAAAGGAAUUUUCACCUCUGGAAAGUUAACACCGUUUUAAUCCCAGGGCCACGGUUUCAAAAGGUCUUAAAAAACAUAGCAACAAUACAUUCCAACACUUCCCUCUGAUUAUGAGAAAGCACCCAGCCCUCCAAGCCUAGAAUCAUCUUUCAGGAUUCCCAGCAAUUAUUUGAGGAAUGGCUGCAUUCUCAGUAAUCCUCCUACAGUGACAGAAGAUGAUCAAAUAAGAAGUUAGCUGGAAGCUGGAAACUGCAUUCAGUUUCUAGCACUGACAAAGUCUUCCUGUAUGACCCAGGGUAAGUCACGCAAUCUUUUUAACACUCAGUUCCUCAUCUGUGCUUUGAGUAUGUCAAAAAAUGAAGUAUUUUUAUUUGUGUGUUUCUCUCCCUGAAAAAGUAUCUCUAAUACCACAUCUGCUGAGUGCAUCCUGGUCCACAGCACAUUCAUUAAUAUUUUCUCUGUGAAUCACACGGUAAAAAUCAGUCUGAGUAACCACACUCUAUCCACAAAAUUUUUUAACAUCUUGAGUACACCAACAAGGAACCGAUGUAGUCCUCAGCUCCCAGUCAAUAAGCCCAUGUACCCAUGGUAGGUGGUAGCAACCUGAUGAAAGUUUUACCAGUCAUAUUCUUGGUUUUAUAAUGAGGAAAUAACUCUUAAUUAGAGCAGUUCUAGGAAAGAGGAACUGUUGUCAGACAUGUUCUAAUUACACAGCAAGUUGGAUGUAAAUGUGAGGGAGCAACAGUGCUGUGAGCAGUAUUCUUCUGGGUGAAAAAAUACUGUUGCAGAAAUUACAGCAGUGGCCCUCACCAAGCUUUACAGCUUCUAAGACAUGUAUUUAAAAAGCAUAUAAAGAUGUGUAUAUAAAAAGCAUAUUGGAGCCAUGCCACACAAGGUCUUCUCCUUGUCUAUUCUAAAAUGUAAAUAAUAAAAUGCACAGCUGGAGGAGCAAUACAAACCUUCUUCAGAGUCACGCCUUGCCACCCGUCUUUUUGAGGAACAACCAGAAUAGAAACAAAAAUAGAUAAGGCCUUGACUGAAGAUGCUGUUUGAAGACAUUAGCAAGAUUUGUGAUUUGAUGAAUGUCAUGAAAUAGAAAACAAAAGCAAACCAUUGAAUUUCAAGCCCUUUUUCUGUAUUUAAAAAGGCAAGAACCAAUUUUUCUCUGUAUUUCAUGUUUUCAGGCAUCCAGGGUUCUCUUGCUUGAAACUGUCUCAUCUUCAGGAUUAUGUGACCAAUAUACAAUGAGCACUUUUUUCUGUUUCUAUUUAAUUUGUGGAAUUGCCUGAAGGGAGAUCACAGUUUCCUCGCAAUUACUUCAUGUUUUGUUUAUUCUCUGAGCUGACUGUGAAUAUCCUAAAUUUGCUGACUGUGAAGGUCCUGUGGUUCUGAGCUGAGACCAGUUAUAAGAGUUAUAUCGAAGAAGUGAGGGACUAAUCCUGAAAGGGAAACCUUUUGGAAGCAUCUCAGAGAUUUUCUUUUUCCCUUUACUAACAUGGCUUCCCACAAUUAUAGGAUGACUGAUUGUGUGGCAUUAAUCUGGUUGCAUAGUCUUCAUCUUCACCCCACAAUUGAAACCUACUGAUACAGCCUCCAACCCAUCUUAGAAGGCCAGUGAUAUCUACCAUAAAUUCCUACAUGAGAAUAAGUAAUAUCUAGCAAUAUAUUUAUUUUCUACUUUUAUUAAAAAUAUUAAAAAAUAAAAAUUAACCUAUGCUUA
This is a non-coding RNA of Anas platyrhynchos (mallard), 1792 nucleotides long. The record is from RefSeq and is a predicted model, not a curated record. Lineage: Eukaryota; Metazoa; Chordata; Aves; Anseriformes; Anatidae.